Molecule: ribosomal RNA, 301 nt
Filed under: uncultured bacterium
Lineage: Bacteria
Description: partial 16S ribosomal RNA
Rfam family: Bacterial small subunit ribosomal RNA
Source: RNAcentral
CAGCAGCCGCGGGAAUACGAAGGGGGCUAGCGUUGUUCGGAUUUACUGGGCGUAAAGGGCGCGUAGGCGGACUGAUAAGUCAGGGGUGAAAUCCCAAGGCUCAGCCUUGGAACUGCCUUUGAUACUGUUUGUCUUGAGUUCGAGAGAGGUAAGUGGAACUGCGAGUGUAGAGGUGAAAUUCGUAGAUAUUCGCAAGAACACCAGUGGCGAAGGCGGCUUACUGGCUCGAUACUGACGCUGAGGCGCGAAAGCGUGGGGAGCAAACAGGAUUAGAUACCCCUGUAGUCCCUGUCUCUUAUAC